RNAcentral lists this transfer RNA (88 nucleotides) under Deinococcus radiophilus. RNAcentral describes it as "tRNA-Ser". It matches the Rfam family "tRNA". From Rfam's summary of the family: Transfer RNA (tRNA) molecules are approximately 80 nucleotides in length. Lineage: Bacteria; Thermotogati; Deinococcota; Deinococci; Deinococcales; Deinococcaceae. The record is from RNAcentral. RNAcentral also lists the same sequence under 4 other names.
GGGGAGGUGGGUGAGUGGCUGAAACCGCACCCCUGCUAAGGGUGUAUACCGCAAGGUAUCGAGGGUUCGAAUCCCUCCCUCUCCGCCA